Molecule: ribosomal RNA, 402 nt
Filed under: uncultured bacterium
Lineage: Bacteria
Description: bacterial SSU rRNA
Rfam family: Bacterial small subunit ribosomal RNA
Source: RNAcentral
UGGGGAAUAUUGGACAAUGGGCGCAAGCCUGAUCCAGCCAUGCCGCGUGGGUGAUGAAGGCCUUAGGGUUGUAAAGCCCUUUCGGCGGGGCAGAUAAUGACGGUACCCGCAGAAGAAGCCCCGGCUAACUUCGUGCCAGCAGCCGCGGUAAUACGAAGGGGGCUAGCGUUGCUCGGAAUUACUGGGCGUAAAGCGCACGUAGGCGGCUUGUUAAGUCGGGGGUGAAAUCCCGGAGCUCAACUCCGGAACUGCCUUCGAUACUGGCAAGCUCGAGUCCGGGAGAGGUGAGUGGAACUGCGAGUGUAGAGGUGAAAUUCGUAGAUAUUCGCAAGAACACCAGUGGCGAAGGCGGCUCACUGGCCCGGUACUGACGCUGAGGUGCGAAAGCGUGGGGAGCAAACA